This 465-nucleotide ribosomal RNA is filed under the name Vreelandella stevensii. Its description in RNAcentral is "partial 16S ribosomal RNA". It matches the Rfam family "Bacterial small subunit ribosomal RNA", at positions 338 to 795 of the family's 1533-position model. Lineage: Bacteria; Pseudomonadati; Pseudomonadota; Gammaproteobacteria; Oceanospirillales; Halomonadaceae. The record is from RNAcentral.
CCUACGGGAGGCUGCAGUGGGGAAUAUUGGACAAUGGGGGCAACCCUGAUCCAGCCAUGCCGCGUGUGUGAAGAAGGCCCUCGGGUUGUAAAGCACUUUCAGUGAGGAAGAACGCCUGGUGGUUAAUACCCAUCAGGAAAGACAUCACUCACAGAAGAAGCACCGGCUAACUCCGUGCCAGCAGCCGCGGUAAUACGGAGGGUGCGAGCGUUAAUCGGAAUUACUGGGCGUAAAGCGCGCGUAGGUGGCUUGAUAAGCCGGUUGUGAAAGCCCCGGGCUCAACCUGGGAACGGCAUCCGGAACUGUCAAGCUAGAGUGCAGGAGAGGAAGGUAGAAUUCCCGGUGUAGCGGUGAAAUGCGUAGAGAUCGGGAGGAAUACCGGUGGCGAAGGCGGCCUUCUGGACUGACACUGACACUGAGGUGCGAAAGCGUGGGUAGCAAACAGGAUUAGAUACCCCGGUAGUC